UUAAGUUCAGCGGGUAUUCCUACCUGAUCCGAGGUCAACCUUAAAAUUGGUAAAGCAAGACCGGGUUAAAAGGCCACUAACAUGCGUGCUGAUUAAAGCUCGUUGCAUAUAGGGUUCUAAUAACACCGUCAUUAUCUUUGGGGCCUGUCUUUAACGACAAGAGGUCCAACAGCAAGCCGAGCUUGAUUAGUGAUAAUGAC
RNAcentral lists this unclassified non-coding RNA (200 nucleotides) under Cladophialophora sp. RNAcentral's name for it is "partial internal transcribed spacer 2". Lineage: Eukaryota; Fungi; Ascomycota; Eurotiomycetes; Chaetothyriales; Herpotrichiellaceae. The record is from RNAcentral.